Molecule: ribosomal RNA, 253 nt
Filed under: uncultured bacterium
Lineage: Bacteria
Description: partial 16S ribosomal RNA
Rfam family: Bacterial small subunit ribosomal RNA
Source: RNAcentral
UACAGAGGGUGCAAGCGUUGUUCGGAAUCAUUGGGCGUAAAGGGUGCGUAGGCGGCCGUGCAAGUCUGGCGUGAAAGCCCCGGGCUCAACCUGGGAACCGCGCUUGAGACUGGCACGCUCGAGUUCGGGAGAGGAUGGUGGAAUUCCCAGUGUAGAGGUGAAAUUCGUAGAUAUUGGGAAGAACACCGAUGGCGAAGGCAGCCAUCUGGACCGACACUGACGCUGAGGCGCGAAAGCGUGGGGAGCAAACAGG